RNAcentral lists this ribosomal RNA (468 nucleotides) under uncultured bacterium. Its description in RNAcentral is "partial 16S ribosomal RNA". It matches the Rfam family "Bacterial small subunit ribosomal RNA", at positions 28 to 507 of the family's 1533-position model. The record is from RNAcentral.
GACGAACGCUGGCGGCGUGCUUAACACAUGCAAGUCGAGCGGAAAGGCCCUGCUUUUGUGGGGUGCUCGAGUGGCGAACGGGUGAGUAACACGUGAGUAACCUGCCCUUGACUUUGGGAUAACUUCAGGAAACUGGGGCUAAUACCGGAUAGGAGCUCCUGCUGCAUGGUGGGGGUUGGAAAGUUUCGGCGGUUGGGGAUGGACUCGCGGCUUAUCAGCUUGUUGGUGGGGUAGUGGCUUACCAAGGCUUUGACGGGUAGCCGGCCUGAGAGGGUGACCGGCCACAUUGGGACUGAGAUAAGGCCCAGACUCAUACGGGAGGCAGCAGUGGGGAAGAUUGCACAAUGGGCGGAAGCCUGAUGCAGCAAAGCCGCGUGCGGGAUGACGGCCUUCGGGUUGUAAACCGCUUUCGCCUGUGACGAAGAGUGAGUGACGGUAAUGGGUAAAGAAGCACCGGCUAACUACGUG